UGGGGAACCUGCCCCAUAGUCUGGGAUACCACUUGGAAACAGGUGCUAAUACCGGAUAAGAAAGCAGAUCGCAUGAUCAGCUUUUAAAAGGCGGCGUAAGCUGUCGCUAUGGGAUGGCCCCGCGGUGCAUUAGCUAGUUGGUAAGGUAAAGGCUUACCAAGGCGAUGAUGCAUAGCCGAGUUGAGAGACUGAUCGGCCACAUUGGGACUGAGACACGGCCCAAACUCCUACGGGAGGCAGCAGGA
This 245-nucleotide ribosomal RNA is filed under the name uncultured Lactobacillus sp. Its description in RNAcentral is "partial 16S ribosomal RNA". It matches the Rfam family "Bacterial small subunit ribosomal RNA", at positions 118 to 354 of the family's 1533-position model. Lineage: Bacteria; Bacillati; Bacillota; Bacilli; Lactobacillales; Lactobacillaceae. The record is from RNAcentral.